Molecule: ribosomal RNA, 253 nt
Filed under: uncultured bacterium
Lineage: Bacteria
Description: partial 16S ribosomal RNA
Rfam family: Bacterial small subunit ribosomal RNA
Source: RNAcentral
UACGUAGGGGGCUAGCGUUGUCCGGAAUCAUUGGGCGUAAAGCGCGUGUAGGCGGUCCGAUAAGUCCGCUGUGAAAGUCGAGGGCUCAACCCUCGAAUGCCGGUGGAUACUGUCGGGCUUGAGUACGGGAGAGGCGAGUGGAAUUCCUGGUGUAGCGGUGAAAUGCGCAGAUAUCAGGAGGAACACCGAUUGCGAAGGCAGCUCGCUGGGCUAACACUGACGCUCAGGCACGAAAGCGUGGGGAGCAAACAGG